AUCCCUUGGCCCCUUAAAAGGCGAUAAAGGGGAUUUGGUAAUCUGGAAAAGUUUCGGAAGUUGAUAAACAAACUAAAAAACCCCGGAGAUUUUCAAGGGGGAUAACCCCCCCAGGAAACCGGGGUACUUUUUUCUGAAUAAAAGGAAAUUUUAAGGGUUAAGUGGGGAAACCCUAAAAAACCCAUCUGGGAAAAAAGGGGGAAAAAAAAUAAACCCGAGAUUUUUGUUAGUAGCGGCGAGCAAAAGGAACAGCCCUUAAGCAUUUAAGAAAAAAAAAAAAGGGUUGGGAAGCUUGACCAUGAAUAUGGGUCCUGUUUUUUAAAUUUUUUUAAUUUGUGAAACGAUAGGUCGGACCUUAAAAUUUUGACUGAAAUGGGGGACCAUCCCCCAAAGGGCCCAAAACUCCUGGCUGACCGAGGUAAAACCGGGUACCGUGGGGGAAAGGCGAAAAAAACCCCCGGAGGGGGGGAAAAAGAACCUGAAAUCGUAUGCAUACAAGUUUGUGGGGCCUCUGUUUAUCUUGGGAUAAACGGGGGACUGCGUCCCUUUGGGGGGGAAAGGGGGCCAAGGAGUUACCCCCCUGUGGCGUUUAAUUUUUUUGGAGGGGGGGCAUAGGGAAACCGAGUUUUUUAGGGGGGAGCGCAGGGGGGGACCCGAAACCGGGCGAUCAUCCAUGGCCAGGGGUAAGGUGGGACUUACGGGAGGCCCAAAACCCACUUAUGUUGAAAAAUGGGGGUGAGCUGUGGAUUAAAAAGGCUAAUCGCUCGGAGAUAUUUUGGCCCCUCAAAAUUUUUAUUUAGGUAGCCCCCGUUUACUUUUUGGGGGGAAACACUAAUCCUCGGCUGGGGGUUACCCCGCCCUUACCAAACCGAACCCAAAACCCCAAUCCCAAAAGUAUUAGCACGGGGAACACAUUUGCGGGUGCUAACGUCCGUAGGGGAAAGGGAAAAAACCCAGAUCCCCAAAAGCAAGGGGUCCCAAAGUAAGGAUUAAGGGGGAAAAGGGAUGGGGGGAAGGCUUAAACAGAGGGUUGGCUUAGAAGCAGCCACCCUUUAAAAAAGAUAGCGUAACAGCUCACUAGUCGAGUCGGCCCCGGGAAGAUAUACGGGGGUAAAUCAUACACCGAAGCUGCGGAAAGGGUUUUUAAUCUAAGGAGAGGGGCGUUCCUUAACCCGUUUUUAAGGGGGGAUUUGGGGAAAAAUUUUCUGGGGGGUAUCAGAAGUGAGAAUGCUGACAUGAGUAACGAGAGAGAGGUGAAAAACCCCCUCCGCCCGGGAAAGACUAAGGUUUCCGUCCAACGCUAAUUUAAAAAAGGGUUGGUACCUAAGGCGAAAGGGGGAAAGCCUAGUCGAUGGAAAAAAAAAGGUUUAUUCCUGUACCGCAUUCCUCGAUGGAGGGAGAAGGCUGAUCAUCAGAGCGGGUGGUUGUCUCUGUUUUGGUUGUAGGGUCGAUAUUUUUUGGGAAAUCCGGGGUAUCUUUUUACUGAGAGCAAAGACGACGACCUUUUUUAAAUCGAAAAAUGAUUGAUGCCAUACUUCCCGGAAAAACCCCGGUUCCCGGUAAUAGGAAAAACCGACUGUAAACCGCAAAUUUGAAGGUAAAAAUACAAGGCGUUUGGGAAAAGAACUUGGGUUGGAACUAGGCUGGGACCGUAACUUCAGAAGGACGCCUCUAAGUGAAAGAACUUGCUUCUGGAAAACGGGGGAGGGGCGAAGAUACCAGGGUGGCUGGGACUGUUUACAAAAACAUAGCACUUGAAACAUUAAUGUGGAAGAAAGGGGUGACGCCCGCCCGGGUGCCGGGAAAGGGUUUAAAUUUUUUGGGGGUUUGUCCUCGGACGAAAUCGAUCGAAGCCCCGGUGAACGGGGGGGUAACUAUAACGGUCCUUGGGCGAAAUUCCUUGUCCCGGGAAGUUCCCACCUGCACGAAUGGCGUAACGAGGCCAUUUUCCCGUCCCCCCGACCCAGGGCCGGUGAAAUUGAAUUUUGGGAAGAUGCCGAACGCGGGGGGGAAAAACGGGAAAAACCCAAAGGCUUUUCUAUAGCUUCACACUUUGGGCUUUUUAAUUUAUAUGUGUAGGGUGGGGGGGGACCCUUUUAAGCAUUAGCGGGUUUUUUGUGGAGUCGUCCCCUUAAAUACACUUUUUAAAUUUGGGGUUCAACUUGGGCUCAAACUGGGGUUUAGGACAGUGUGGGGGGUGGGUAGUUUUACUGGGGGGGUCUCCCCCCCAAAGAGGGAACGGAGGGGUAGGGGAAAGGGUUUCCUCAGCCAAAGGGGGAGGGAUUUGUCUUGAGGCAAUGGCAAAAAGGGAGCUUAACUGGGGGGCCCACGGGUCGAGCAGGUACAAAAAAAAGGGCAUAGGGGGAUCCCGGGGGUUCCGAUGGGAAAGGGCCCUUUUUUCAACGGAUAAAAAGGGACGCCGGGGAUAACAGGCUUUUUACCCCCCAAAAGUUCCAAAACGACGGGGGUUUUGGACCCGGGUGUCGGUUUAAAAACAUCCUGGGGGGUGGGGGUCCCGGGGGCUGUUCGCCAAAAGUGGAGCGAGUUUGGGUUUGGGGAAAACCCCGGAGACGGAUUUUGGUCCCUAAACUGCCGUGGGGUUGGAGAUUUGGGGGAGGUUUUUUCCCCGGAGAGAGGACCCCGGGUUUAACGAACCCGGGCCCCGGGUUUUUUCACGCCUUUGGGAUUUUCCCGGUAGCUAUGUUCCGGGAAAAGGGAAAACCCCUUUUUUGGAUCUAAGGGGGCCCACCUCAAGGAAAAAGACCCCCCAGAUCCUUCGGGAUCCUAAAGAACCGUUCAAGACUAGGACGUUGAUAGGCAGGGUGUGUAAGUGCUGUAAGGCAUUGAGCUAACCUGUACUAAUUGUUCGUGAGGCUUAACU
This 2881-nucleotide ribosomal RNA is filed under the name Gammaproteobacteria bacterium. RNAcentral describes it as "23S ribosomal RNA". It matches the Rfam family "Bacterial large subunit ribosomal RNA". Lineage: Bacteria; Pseudomonadati; Pseudomonadota; Gammaproteobacteria. The record is from RNAcentral.